RNAcentral lists this ribosomal RNA (492 nucleotides) under uncultured bacterium. RNAcentral's name for it is "partial 16S ribosomal RNA". It matches the Rfam family "Bacterial small subunit ribosomal RNA", at positions 30 to 507 of the family's 1533-position model. The record is from RNAcentral.
AUUGAACGCUGGCGGCAUGCUUUACACAUGCAAGUCGAGCGGUAACAGGCCUUCGGGUGCUGACGAGUGGCGAACGGGUGAGUAAUGCAUCGGAACGUGCCCAGAGGUGGGGGAUAACGCAGCGAAAGCUGUGCUAAUACCGCAUGUGAUCUGAGGAUGAAAGCGGGGGACCAGGCAGCAAUGUUUGGCCUCGCGCCUUUGGAGCGGCCGAUGUCAGAUUAGGUAGUUGGUGGGGUAAGGGCCUACCAAGCCGACGAUCUGUAGCUGGUCUGAGAGGACGACCAGCCACACUGGGACUGAGACACGGCCCAGACUCCUACGGGAGGCAGCAGUGGGGAAUUUUGGACAAUGGGCGCAAGCCUGAUCCAGCAAUGCCGCGUGCGGGAAGAAGGCCUUCGGGUUGUAAACCGCUUUUGUACGGAACGAAAAGGCUCUGGCUAAUACCUGGGGCUGAUGACGGUACCGUAAGAAUAAGCACCGGCUAACUACGUG